UACGGGGGGGGCAAGCGUUGUUCGGAAUUACUGGGCGUAAAGGGCCAGUAGGCGGCCAACUAAGUCCGACGUGAAAUCCCCAGGCUCAACUUGGGAACUGCGUCGGAUACUGGAUGGCUUGAAUUCGGGAGAGGGAUGCAGAAUUCCAGGUGUAGCGGUGAAAUGCGUAGAUAUCCGGAGGAAUACCGGUGGCGAAGGCGGCAUCCUGGACCGGCAUUGACGCUGAGGAGCGAAAGCCAGGGGAGCAAACGGG
This 253-nucleotide ribosomal RNA is filed under the name uncultured bacterium. RNAcentral's name for it is "partial 16S ribosomal RNA". It matches the Rfam family "Bacterial small subunit ribosomal RNA", at positions 524 to 776 of the family's 1533-position model. The record is from RNAcentral.